UACGUAGGGGGCAAGCGUUGUCCGGAAUCAUUGGGCGUAAAGAGCGUGUAGGCGGCUCGGUAAGUCCGUUCUGAAAGUCCAGGGCUCAACCCUGGGAUGCGGAUGGAUACUGCCGGGCUCGAGUCCGGAAGAGGCGAGUGGAAUUCCCGGUGUAGCGGUGAAAUGCGCAGAUAUCGGGAGGAACACCAAUGGCGAAGGCAGCUCGCUGGGACGUGACUGACGCUGAGACGCGAAAGCGUGGGGAGCAAACGGG
RNAcentral lists this ribosomal RNA (253 nucleotides) under uncultured bacterium. Its description in RNAcentral is "partial 16S ribosomal RNA". It matches the Rfam family "Bacterial small subunit ribosomal RNA", at positions 524 to 776 of the family's 1533-position model. The record is from RNAcentral.